Molecule: ribosomal RNA, 458 nt
Filed under: uncultured bacterium
Lineage: Bacteria
Description: bacterial SSU rRNA
Rfam family: Bacterial small subunit ribosomal RNA
Source: RNAcentral
GUACGGAAGGCAGCAGUGAGGAAUAUUGGUCAAUGGACGCAAGUCUGAACCAGCCAUGCCGCGUGAAGGAUGAAGGCCUUCUGGGUUGUAAACUUCUUUUACCUGGGAAGAAACCCCAAUAUUCUUAUUGGGUUGACGGUACCAGAGGAAUAAGCACCGGCUAACUCCGUGCCAGCAGCCGCGGUAAUACGGAGGGUGCAAGCGUUAUCCGGAUUUACUGGGUUUAAAGGGUGUGUAGGCGGGCUUUUAAGUCAGUGGUGAAAUCUCCGGGCUCAACCCGGAAACUGCCAUUGAUACUAUUAGUCUUGAAUUUUGUUGAGGUAGGCGGAAUAAGUCAUGUAGCGGUGAAAUGCUUAGAUAUGACUUAGAACACCAAUUGCGAAGGCAGCUUGCUAAACAAAUAUUGACGCUGAGGCACGAAAGCGUGGGGAUCAAACAGGAUUAGAUACCCCGGUAGC